RNAcentral lists this long non-coding RNA (210 nucleotides) under Vigna radiata. RNAcentral's name for it is "long non-coding RNA (VRAD_LNC004838)". The record is from RNAcentral. Lineage: Eukaryota; Viridiplantae; Streptophyta; Magnoliopsida; Fabales; Fabaceae.
ACGAAUUGAAAAAGAAAAAGAGCAUAAACAUAGAAAUCACGAACCUGAAGGAGGUGAUUUUUAGAAACGAUGAAGAUUAGGUUAGAGUGAAAAUGAAGAUACAGAGAAGUCACCACAACUAAUGUUUUUGUGAUAAAAAUAAAGAUUAGGUAAGAUGAACAUACCACGAAGACGGAAACUCGCCGCCUUGACCUUGCCGCUUCGAUCUCG